This 253-nucleotide ribosomal RNA is filed under the name uncultured bacterium. RNAcentral describes it as "partial 16S ribosomal RNA". It matches the Rfam family "Bacterial small subunit ribosomal RNA", at positions 524 to 776 of the family's 1533-position model. The record is from RNAcentral.
UACGUAGGGUGCGAGCGUUGUCCGGAAUUACUGGGCGUAAAGAGCUCGUAGGUGGUUUGUCGCGUUGUUCGUGAAAACUCACAGCUCAACUGUGGGCGUGCGGGCGAUACGGGCAGACUUGAGUACUGCAGGGGAGACUGGAAUUCCUGGUGUAGCGGUGGAAUGCGCAGAUAUCAGGAGGAGCACCGGUGGCGAAGGCGGGUCUCUGGGCCGAUACUGACGCUGAGGAGCGAAAGCGUGGGGAGCGAACAGG